RNAcentral lists this ribosomal RNA (495 nucleotides) under uncultured bacterium. RNAcentral describes it as "bacterial SSU rRNA". It matches the Rfam family "Bacterial small subunit ribosomal RNA", at positions 30 to 520 of the family's 1533-position model. The record is from RNAcentral.
AUUGAACGCUGGCGGCAUGCCUUACACAUGCAAGUCGAACGGCAGCGCGGGGCAACCUGGCGGCGAGUGGCGAACGGGUGAGUAAAAUAUCGGAACAUACCCUAGAGUGGGGGAUAACGUAGCGAAAGUUACGCUAAUACCGCAUACGAUCUAAGGAUGAAAGUGGGGGAUCGCAAGACCUCAUGCUCAUGGAGUGGCCGAUAUCUGAUUAGCUAGUUGGUAGGGUAAAGCCUACCAAGGCGACGAUCAGUAGCUGGUUUGAGAGAACGACCAGCCACACUGGAACUGAGACACGGUCCAGACUCCUACGGGAGGCAGCAGUGGGGAAUUUUGGACAAUGGGGGGCAACCCUGAUCCAGCAAUGCCGCGUGAGUGAAGAAGGCCCUCGGGUUGUAAAGCUCUUUUGUCAGGGAAGAAACGGUGUUUCCUAAUACGGAAUGCUAAUGACGGUACCUGAAGAAUAAGCACCGGCUAACUACGUGCCAGCAGCCGCGG